Molecule: RNA transcript, 3027 nt
Organism: Myzus persicae (green peach aphid)
Lineage: Eukaryota; Metazoa; Arthropoda; Insecta; Hemiptera; Aphididae
Exons: 2
Source: RefSeq, a predicted model, not a curated record
AAUAUACCUACAGUUUCGCGACAAAAACCGUAACCACUGUCUCUAUAGCCAAAGGUCUGUGUGUAAUGCCAAAAUCGAGGAGACCUGAGAAUGUCAUGCGACGGAAAUGGAUUGUUACAAUCCUAAAACCGACCGCGGACGAGGAGGCAUCAUAGAACACCACGCUGCUUUCGAUCGUGUUCUGAAACUAGUGGCGCAGAUGUAUACAUAUUUAGUAAUAAGGAAACGCGCGAAAAGGAAAUCAAAAAAACGAAUCCAGCCAGUCUCGACGAUAAUUUCUUUACCAUUUUCGGCCGGAGAUAUAAAGCAGUACUAUGUAGCUGUUCGCUAAUGGAUUCAGAUUGACAUUUGAUUACGGUCGGGCGCUACAAAAAUAAUAAUCGUUCUACGGAUCCGUAUAUGGCACUCCGCCGCCUAACCAGGCGCCAUAUACACAAUGAUAUUAUUAGUAUAUUACGGACAAUUACAAUUAUUAUUUGUUAAGUCGUCAGUGUAAUAAAAACGACCCGAAUUUGGAAUGGAAAAAAAUAACUUGAAUUAUUGAAACCAUGUUACAUAGGUAUACCUAACAUAAUAUUAUGUUAGAGAAGGGAUACAAAAAAAGUUGAUCGGUUUAACUAUACUUAUUAGUUAUUAUAGUAAUUAAUGUUGUUCUUACAACAUUGCAAACCCGGUGUACAUGUGUACCCCCGCCCCACGAGGAUGAUGAUAUUACGAUGACAAAAGUCGUGGACCUCGACCAUUAUGAUAUUUUCUGAUUUAUCGGUUCGUGUGGGCCAACUUCAGUGAGCGCUGGACCUACAGUGUCACUGACGAAGAAUCUAUGUGCAAGUGUGCGUAUAGGUUUUAUGUAAUUACUUUGUUCCUUUAAACUAGCUCUUGGUCGUACUUUUAAACAAAUACAAUAUAUUUUCCAAGUCCGGCCGUUACGUUUCAAUAUAUUUUAUCAUUAUUAUAAUUUUCAACGGGCUUGAAAAUAAAUACACCGUGAACACAAGGUCGUGUCGAUUAUUUUAGGUGUCUGCGCAGAAAAAUAAUAACACUCAUAUUGUAGGUUCCGACGAGUGUGAACAAUAUUAUAUUAUUAUACACCACAACAAAGCCCAUUGCACACCAAAUCAUAAUAAUUAUUAAUAUUGUGUUUUGAUGGAAUUCGGGACACGGAAGUACAUAACGAUGACGAAUAGCGAUACAUAUUUUGAUAUAGAACAUUGUUAGUCGGUUCGACCAAAAACCUCUGUAUAAUAUGAGCAUAAUACAAACGAUUUAAGAAACGCAAAAACGAUUGCCUACUUAAACUUGUCUUGGAGAAAAUCAAUACGGUACACAUGUGUAUAUUAAUAAUAAUAAUAAUACCAAUGGUAAUAUUAUUCUACUAAUCGAGCGUGAAGCGUUUAACGGAUGCGGAUAAAACGACGAAAAUUAAGGUAAAAAACGAAAAGAUUAAUUUUUUUUUUUAUCAAUGGAAAUCGCAGCAACGGCAACAGCAGCCGCCCGGACAAAAAACAAACAAACCGAGUGGCUCUGCCGGAGGCGGCGGAGGUAAUUUAUUAUUACAAUAUUUCUGUCGGCCGCCUCCUCGGCACCUAACCUAUUACUACUACUACUACCUGCUACGUACAUGUAACAUGUAUUAUUAUUAUUAUUAUUAUUAUUAUAAACGUACACACACUCGCACAUUCUCUGCCGUACAUUAUUGAAGACCUAGUCGUUGUUGCUAUGCUCCGUUUAUACCCACAUUAUACACACACGCGCUUCUUUUAAUAACAAUAUUAUAAUAUGUACCCGUCGAGGUGUGUGACGACAACGACACGAUAAUAUUAUUAUAUAGUUACCAAGGAGUCAGGUGCGAGUGCACGCCAUCAAGUCCCGGGCGUCGAACGAAUUAGACGAGGCGGUAUACCGAGGUAAUACGUGACCAAGUAUAGGUGCCAGGGGGGUACCGCACGCGAAACCGGACGACUUGACCCGACCCAGAAAGCCUCCCAACCUGGGUGGGGGUGAUGUGCUCGCGUAUUAUUAUAUUAUAUUGUUGUUCUUGUUCAACGAUUAUAUCGUCUACGAUCAGGGCUAACUGACGUCGUCGGGAGGUGAAGCCAUUUGCGCCAGGAAAAUGUGUUCAGGGGAGGUGGGGUAAAUAUUAGGACUAGGCCGCAGACUAAUAUGCUAGCCUGACUUAUAUACGCCGACCUUUAGCUGGUGUUCUUUCAGUACGCUAUUCUGAAAUGUUUGUGAAAAUGUUUUUGGCCUUUUUUCGCGUUACGGUAUGCCUGUACGCGAAAUAAAUAAAUAAACUGUCAAACGUAUUGAAAUUUUAGCAUAAGCGUUUUAUCGACAUUAUUCGAAAAGCGUAAUUAAAAACUUACGAAAAAUGAACGUUUGCGGUGAAAAGUUCACAAAAUGUUAUUUACAUUUUUUACGUAGUCGUUUAUAUACGGUCUUUGGUGUAAACGAUAGAACUCGUGUGCGGGUCACGGCACGGCGGCCGAGUAUACAAUUAAAAUGCUCACGGAGGGUCACGGCGAAAUUAUACGCGGGCCACUGCAGUAAUAUCCCCGGGGAACGUUUAAAAUGUUUCGAGUUAUGCGGUUAUAUUUUUUUUACCAAAGCCCAUCCCACCCAUCACCCACACCGUUCACCUAUCUUACCAACCGGGGGGUUUUCAAACGCGCGGCGGCAGUAUUCGUAUAUAGCCUUUUGCAUACGGAAUUAAAUGGGCCGCGAACGGCACCCCCUCACCCACCUCCCAACCGACGAUAAUAUCCGUCGCAUUAUUAUUAGAUAUAUCUGGUGGGCGUCGACUUUUUAAAUUAAAAGGCAUUUCGCGACGACUCUAUAAUAUACACUUGCGACCUUUGCGGUGUCAUUAGUGGGAUCUCCUCUCUUUUUUUAGUGAACAGGCGCGCGUGUGAGUGUAUAUAUAUACGUUUCUUUUCGUCCUUUCCUUUCAACCCUCCCCCUCGUCGCUCCGAACUAUCCGUUUGCCCUCUCGCCUCUCUAUAUACCUAACUAACAUAAAGGCUAAAC